RNAcentral lists this non-coding RNA (45 nucleotides) under Trichobilharzia regenti. Lineage: Eukaryota; Metazoa; Platyhelminthes; Trematoda; Strigeidida; Schistosomatidae. The record is from RNAcentral.
GUACUGCUGAAGAGUCCCAAUUAGGACGAAACAGCUGUCCAGUAC